UAACUCAAAGUCAUACUACUAUAUUAUUAAUAAAACUUGUACUCUGUUGAUAGUUGAGCUGCUAACAAUUCCCAGCACUUGGUGGGCAUAAAUAUAUCAAACACUUAGAAAGUAGGAUAUAUAGUAAACACAAACUACUUAGUUUCGAGGUCGUCAUCAUCACCAUCCUUGGAAGAGCAACAAAGAUUGGGUCUAAAACCCUUCUGCAGCAUCUUCUCCACUUCCUCGAACUGCAGCCCCUUGGUCUCCGGUACGAGGAAAAAUAUGGCAAUGAGUCCGAUGGUCGAAAAUCCGGCAAACAAUAGGAACGUCCCCGCCGGACCAAGUGUCUCCGUUAGAGUCAAGAACGUCUCACUCACAAUGAGAUUCGACACCCAAUUAGAUACCGCCGCAAUUCCCCCUCCAAUGCCUCUGUAUUUCAGAGGAUAUAUCUCCGAGUUGACGAUCCACGGCGCAGUUCCCAUCCCCGGCGAGUAAGAUAUGAUGUACAAACCCAAUAGAAGUACGGCGUAUAUCCCAAACUUGCUCGGACAACCUUUCGUGUACCACGUCCGACCUUCUGCCCCGCACAUGCCUUCCACGGUAUCCGUCACGGCCAAGCAUGCUCCAGCCUUGUACUAUUCACAUAUACAACGACGUCGUGUCAGAGCCAUGCAUAAUCUUAAAUUUUGGAAGAACAAAUAAAAAAAGAAAUACUUACUUUUCCAUUCGCACAGAAAGCGCAGUCGGAGAAGAUCUGAGGCAUGACAUGCAGUUCCAGUUUGAUGGCUGGGAGGCUUGCACAUACUUAUAACACGUGGCAUUUGCGCCGAAGUGGAGAGACUCAAGGCUAGUGACCGGCGGGGCAUGCUCGGAGGCUUCGUGGAAUANGGCCUGGGUCGACGGCAACCGGAUGCUACGGAGGCGAAAGGGAAUCGGGCGGCGGCAGCAGACGGAGGCGAAAGGGAUAAGGAAACAAUCUAAACAAAAGAACAAAAGUAUCGAUUAUUGAGUUAUAAUUGAAUUUUAAAUUGAAGCUCAUUAAAAAUAUAAUUUUAUUUUAAAUUUAUUUAAUCGAUGUGAAUCAAUCGCAGUGGACUAAACUUACUAAUCAUACAUUCAUAUUUUUUUGUGAAGAAACUGGAUGGAUUUGGGCUGAUGACCCGAAUAGAGGUAGAUUCGACUAUUAAAAUUUCAGUCCGACCAAUUUUUGGCCGGAUGGGUUUAGUGGGCCAGCCUGCCCAUUGUGCCACCUCUACUCUCUAGUGGGUUUCAGUCUUGAGUAUUUUUAUUGUAUUCUUGCCCACGGAACAUCUGCGAUCAAUUAAUUUAAUAUUAACUCAAAGUCAUACUACUAUAUUAUUAAUAAAACUUGUACUCUGUUGAUAGUUGAGCUGCUAACAAUUCCCAGCACUUGGUGGGCAUAAAUAUAUCAAACACUUAGAAAGUAGGAUAUAUAGUAAACACAAACUACUUAGUUUCGAGGUCGUCAUCAUCACCAUCCUUGGAAGAGCAACAAAGAUUGGGUCUAAAACCCUUCUGCAGCAUCUUCUCCACUUCCUCGAACUGCAGCC
Molecule: long non-coding RNA, 1553 nt
Filed under: Salvia miltiorrhiza (redroot sage)
Lineage: Eukaryota; Viridiplantae; Streptophyta; Magnoliopsida; Lamiales; Lamiaceae
Description: long non-coding RNA (SMIL_LNC009213)
Source: RNAcentral